Molecule: ribosomal RNA, 477 nt
Filed under: Escherichia coli
Lineage: Bacteria; Pseudomonadati; Pseudomonadota; Gammaproteobacteria; Enterobacterales; Enterobacteriaceae
Description: partial 23S ribosomal RNA
Rfam family: Bacterial large subunit ribosomal RNA
Source: RNAcentral
CGAAUGCUGACAUAAGUAACGAUAAAGCGGGUGAAAAGCCCGCUCGCCGGAAGACCAAGGGUUCCUGUCCAACGUUAAUCGGGGCAGGGUGAGUCGACCCCUAAGGCGAGGCCGAAAGGCGUAGUCGAUGGGAAACAGGUUAAUAUUCCUGUACUUGGUGUUACUGCGAAGGGGGGACGGAGAAGGCUAUGUUGGCCGGGCGACGGUUGUCCCGGUUUAAGCGUGUAGGCUGGUUUUCCAGGCAAAUCCGGAAAAUCAAGGCUGAGGCGUGAUGACGAGGCACUACGGUGCUGAAGCAACAAAUGCCCUGCUUCCAGGAAAAGCCUCUAAGCAUCAGGUAACAUCAAAUCGUACCCCAAACCGACACAGGUGGUCAGGUAGAGAAUACCAAGGCGCUUGAGAGAACUCGGGUGAAGGAACUAGGCAAAAUGGUGCCGUAACUUCGGGAGAAGGCACGCUGAUAUGUAGGUGAAGUCC